UACGGAGGGUGCGAGCGUUGUCCGGAAUCACUGGGCGUAAAGGGCGCGUAGGCGGCGCGGAUAGUCGGCGGUGAAAGCCCGGAGCUCAACUCCGGGUCGGCCGUCGAUACUUCCGGGCUUGAGCACUGUAGAGGCAGAUGGAAUUCCGGGUGUAGCGGUGGAAUGCGUAGAGAUCCGGAAGAACACCGGUGGCGAAGGCGGUCUGCUGGGCAGUUGCUGACGCUGAUGCGCGACAGCGUGGGGAGCAAACGAGGAUUAGAAACCC
This 265-nucleotide ribosomal RNA is filed under the name uncultured bacterium. RNAcentral describes it as "partial 16S ribosomal RNA". It matches the Rfam family "Bacterial small subunit ribosomal RNA", at positions 524 to 787 of the family's 1533-position model. The record is from RNAcentral.